GAUGAAGAACGUAGCGAAAUGCGAUAAGUAGUGUGAAUUGCAGAAUUCAGUGAAUCAUCGAAUCUUUGAACGCACAUUGCGCCCCUUGGUAUCCCGAGGGGCAUGCCUGUUCGAGCGUCAUUUCACCACUCAAGCCUGGCUUGGUGUUGGGCGACGUCCCCUUUAGGGACGCGCCUCGAAACGCUCGGCGGCGCGGCACCGGCUUUAAGCGUAGCAGAAUCUUUCGCUUUGGAAGUCGGGGCCCCGCCUGCCGGAAUGCCUACUUGUAAGGUUGACCUCGGAUCAGGCAGGGAUACCCGCUGAACUUAAGCAUAUCAAUAAGCGGAGGA
This 329-nucleotide unclassified non-coding RNA is filed under the name soil metagenome. RNAcentral's name for it is "partial contains 5.8S ribosomal RNA, internal transcribed spacer 2, and large subunit ribosomal RNA". The stretch from base 1 to 120 matches the Rfam family "5.8S ribosomal RNA", at positions 35 to 154 of the family's 154-position model. The record is from RNAcentral.